RNAcentral lists this ribosomal RNA (520 nucleotides) under uncultured Acidobacteriota bacterium. RNAcentral's name for it is "bacterial SSU rRNA". It matches the Rfam family "Bacterial small subunit ribosomal RNA", at positions 385 to 896 of the family's 1533-position model. The record is from RNAcentral. Lineage: Bacteria; Pseudomonadati; Acidobacteriota.
GACGACGCAACGCCGCGUGGAGGAUGAAGACCUUCGGGUCGUAAACUCCUUUCGACCGAGAUGAAUACUCACUGACCUAAUACGUUGGUGAGCUGACAGUAUCGAGGGAAGAAGCCCCGGCUAACUCCGUGCCAGCAGCCGCGGUAAUACGGGGGGGCAAGCGUUGUUCGGAAUUACUGGGCGUAAAGGGUUCGUAGGUGGCCUACUAAGUCAGACGUGAAAUCCCUCAGCUUAACUGGGGAACUGCGUCUGAGACUGGUGGGCUUGAGUGCAGGAGAGGAACGCGGAAUUCCAGGUGUAGCGGUGAAAUGCGUAGAUAUCUGGAGGAACACCGGUGGCGAAGGCGGCGUUCUGGACUGCUACUGACACUGAGGAACGAAAGCCAGGGGAGCAAACGGGAUUAGAUACCCCGGUAGUCCUGGCCCUAAACGAUGAAUGCUUGGUGUGGCGGGUAUCGAUCCCUGCCGUGCCGUAGUUAACGCGUUAAGCAUUCCGCCUGGGGAGUACGGUCGCAAGGCUG